GCCUGGGUGGCUCAGUCAAUUGAGCAUCUGACUUGGACUUGGGUUGUGAGUUCGAUCCCCAUUUCAGGCU
Molecule: transfer RNA, 70 nt
Filed under: Felis catus (domestic cat)
Lineage: Eukaryota; Metazoa; Chordata; Mammalia; Carnivora; Felidae
Also listed under: 3 other names
Rfam family: tRNA
About the family: Transfer RNA (tRNA) molecules are approximately 80 nucleotides in length. Their secondary structure includes four short double-helical elements and three loops (D, anti-codon, and T loops). Further hydrogen bonds mediate the characteristic L-shaped molecular structure. tRNAs have two regions of fundamental functional importance: the anti-codon, which is responsible for specific mRNA codon recognition, and the 3' end, to which the tRNAs corresponding amino acid is attached (by aminoacyl-tRNA synthetases). tRNAs cope with the degeneracy of the genetic code in two manners: having more than one tRNA (with a specific anti-codon) for a particular amino acid; and 'wobble' base-pairing, i.e. permitting non-standard base-pairing at the 3rd anti-codon position.
Source: Rfam by way of RNAcentral